GAUGAACGCUGGCGGCGUGCCUAAUACAUGCAAGUCGAGCGAACGGACGAGAAGCUUGCUUCUCUGAUGUUAGCGGCGGACGGGUGAGUAACACGUGGAUAACCUACCUAUAAGACUGGGAUAACUUCGGGAAACCGGAGCUAAUACCGGAUAAUAUUUUGAACCGCAUGGUUCAAAAGUGAAAGACGGUCUUGCUGUCACUUAUAGAUGGAUCCGCGCUGCAUUAGCUAGUUGGUAAGGUAACGGCUUACCAAGGCAACGAUGCAUAGCCGACCUGAGAGGGUGAUCGGCCACACUGGAACUGAGACACGGUCCAGACUCCUACGGGAGGCAGCAGUAGGGAAUCUUCCGCAAUGGGCGAAAGCCUGACGGAGCAACGCCGCGUGAGUGAUGAAGGUCUUCGGAUCGUAAAACUCUGUUAUUAGGGAAGAACAUAUGUGUAAGUAACUGUGCACAUCUUGACGGUACCUAAUCAGAAAGCCACGGCUAACUACGUGCCAGCAGCCGCGGUAAUACGUAGGUGGCAAGCGUUAUCCGGAAUUAUUGGGCGUAAAGCGCGCGUAGGCGGUUUUUUAGUCUGAUGUGAAAGCCCACGGCUCAACCGUGGAGGGUCAUUGGAAACUGGAAAACUUGAGUGCAGAAGAGGAAAGUGGAAUUCCAUGUGUAGCGGUGAAAUGCGCAGAGAUAUGGAGGAACACCAGUGGCGAAGGCGACUUUCUGGUCUGUAACUGACGCUGAUGUGCGAAAGCGUGGGGAUCAAACAGGAUUAGAUACCCUGGUAGUCCACGCCGUAAACGAUGAGUGCUAAGUGUUAGGGGGUUUCCGCCCCUUAGUGCUGCAGCUAACGCAUUAAGCACUCCGCCUGGGGAGUACGACCGCAAGGUUGAAACUCAAAGGAAUUGACGGGGACCCGCACAAGCGGUGGAGCAUGUGGUUUAAUUCGAAGCAACGCGAAGAACCUUACCAAAUCUUGACAUCCUUUGACAACUCUAGAGAUAGAGCUUUCCCCUUCGGGGGACAAAGUGACAGGUGGUGCAUGGUUGUCGUCAGCUCGUGUCGUGAGAUGUUGGGUUAAGUCCCGCAACGAGCGCAACCCUUAAGCUUAGUUGCCAUCAUUAAGUUGGGCACUCUAAGUUGACUGCCGGUGACAAACCGGAGGAAGGUGGGGAUGACGUCAAAUCAUCAUGCCCCUUAUGAUUUGGGCUACACACGUGCUACAAUGGACAAUACAAAGGGCAGCGAAACCGCGAGGUCAAGCAAAUCCCAUAAAGUUGUUCUCAGUUCGGAUUGUAGUCUGCAACUCGACUACAUGAAGCUGGAAUCGCUAGUAAUCGUAGAUCAGCAUGCUACGGUGAAUACGUUCCCGGGUCU
RNAcentral lists this ribosomal RNA (1371 nucleotides) under uncultured bacterium. Its description in RNAcentral is "bacterial SSU rRNA". It matches the Rfam family "Bacterial small subunit ribosomal RNA", at positions 28 to 1381 of the family's 1533-position model. The record is from RNAcentral.